AAGUCGGAACAAGGUUUUCGUAGGUGAACCUGCGGAAGGAUCAUUAACACGUAUCCAACGUUAAACCCCCCUGUGAACCUUCAUUGUGCUCCCAUUCCGUUAGGACGCGGCAAUCCCUGGCAGCAGCGCGAGGCAAGUGGCCUGGCAUUCGAAAGAAUGGCGCAGUAACGAUCGCUAGAGGCCGACACGGCCGGCGACCGGGUCACUGGGCUCACGCCCCCCUAUCACCUUUGCAUGAAAACGGGCCUGCGCUUAAUUGUGCGGCCACCAAACUCGAACAACUGUUAACAAUGGAUAUCUUGGUUCUC
This 308-nucleotide unclassified non-coding RNA is filed under the name fungal sp. RNAcentral describes it as "partial internal transcribed spacer region". The stretch from base 1 to 46 matches the Rfam family "Eukaryotic small subunit ribosomal RNA", at positions 1786 to 1831 of the family's 1831-position model. The record is from RNAcentral. Lineage: Eukaryota; Fungi.